AGGAGGUGGUGCGGCGAUUGCGGACUGGUUCGCCAGUCUGAGGAAAGUCCGGGCUCCCCAACGAGCGGAUUGCUGGGUAACGCCCAGUGCGCGCGAGCGUGAGGAUAGUGCCACAGAAACAUACCGCCGAUGGCUGUUUCACAACAGCACAGGUAAGGGUGCAAAGGUGCGGUAAGAGCGCACCAGCAGCAUCGAGAGGUGCUGGCUCGGUAAACCCCGUCCUGAGCAAGGCGUGGGGACACAUGGGUUGCUCGCUGACCGUCCCCCGAUAUGCCGCUUGAGGCGGUAGGUAACUACCGUCCUAGACAGAUGAUCGCCCUCGAACAGAACCCGGCUUACGUCCACCUCCUCUAU
RNAcentral lists this RNase P RNA (354 nucleotides) under Gloeobacterales cyanobacterium ES-bin-313. RNAcentral describes it as "Bacterial RNase P class A". It matches the Rfam family "Bacterial RNase P class A". From Rfam's summary of the family: Ribonuclease P (RNase P) is a ubiquitous endoribonuclease, found in archaea, bacteria and eukarya as well as chloroplasts and mitochondria. Its best characterised activity is the generation of mature 5'-ends of tRNAs by cleaving the 5'-leader elements of precursor-tRNAs. Cellular RNase Ps are ribonucleoproteins. Lineage: Bacteria; Bacillati; Cyanobacteriota; Cyanophyceae; Gloeobacterales. The record is from Rfam by way of RNAcentral.